Molecule: ribosomal RNA, 253 nt
Filed under: uncultured bacterium
Lineage: Bacteria
Description: partial 16S ribosomal RNA
Rfam family: Bacterial small subunit ribosomal RNA
Source: RNAcentral
GACGGAGGAGGCAAGCGUUAUCCGGAAGUAUUGGGCGUAAAGCGUCCGCAGGUGGCGAUUCAUGUCUGCUGUCAAAGGUCGGGUCUUAACCCCGGGAAGGCAGUGGAAACUGAAUAGCUAGAGUGCGGUAGGUGCAGAGGGAAUUCACGGUGUAUCGGUGAAAUGCGUAGAGUUCGGGAAGAACAUCAGAGGCGAAAGCGCUCUGCUGGGCCUGCACUGACACUGAGGGACGAAAGCUAGUUGCGCGACAAGG